RNAcentral lists this ribosomal RNA (301 nucleotides) under uncultured bacterium. RNAcentral describes it as "partial 16S ribosomal RNA". It matches the Rfam family "Bacterial small subunit ribosomal RNA", at positions 509 to 808 of the family's 1533-position model. The record is from RNAcentral.
CAGUAGCCGCGGUAAUACGUAGGUGGCAAGCGUUGUCCGGAAUUAUUGGGCGUAAAGGGCUCGCAGGCGGUUUCUUAAGUCUGAUGUGAAAGCCCCCGGCUCAACCGGGGAGGGUCAUUGGAAACUGGGAAACUUAAGCGCAGAAGAGGAGAGCGGAAUUCCACGUGUAGCGGUGAAAUGCGUAGAGAUGUGGAGGAACACCAGUGGCGAAGGCGACUCUCUGGUCUGUAACUAACGCUGAGGAGCGAAAGCGUGGGGAGCGAACAGGAUUAGAUACCCCCGGUAGUCCCUGUCUCUUAUU